ACAACGCUGGCGGCGUGCUUAACACAUGCAAGUCGAACGGAAAGGCCCUGCUUUUGUGGGGUGCUCGAGUGGCGAACGGGUGAGUAACACGUGAGUAACCUGCCCUUGACUUUGGGGAUAACUCCAGGAAAACUGGGGCUAAUACCGGAUAGGAGCUCCUGCUGCAUGGUGGGGGCUGGAAAGUUUCGGCGGUUGGGGAUGGACUCGCGGCUUAUCAGCUUGUUGGUGGGGUAGUGGCUUACCAAGGCUUUGACGGGUAGCCGGCCUGAGAGGGUGACCGGCCACAUUGGGACUGAGAUACGGCCCAGACUCCUACGGGAGGCAGCAGUGGGGAAUAUUGCACAAUGGGCGGAAGCCUGAUGCAGCAACGCCGCGUGCGGGAUGACGGCCUUCGGGUUGUAAACCGCUUUCGCCUGUGACGAAGCGUGAGUGACGGUAAUGGGUAAAGAAGCACCGGCUAACUACGUG
RNAcentral lists this ribosomal RNA (468 nucleotides) under uncultured bacterium. Its description in RNAcentral is "bacterial SSU rRNA". It matches the Rfam family "Bacterial small subunit ribosomal RNA", at positions 32 to 507 of the family's 1533-position model. The record is from RNAcentral.